GUUAGGAAUAUUGGACAAUGGGCGCAAGCCUGAUCCAGCCAUGCCGCGUGAACGAUGAAGGCCUUCGGGUUGUAAAGUUCUUUAGCCGAUGAUUAUAAUGACUGUAGUCGGAAAAUAAGCCCCGGCUAACUUCGUGCCAGCAGCCGCGGUAAUACGAAGGGGGCGAGCGUUAUUCGGAAUCACUGGGCGUAAAGCGUGCGUAGGCGGUCUCGUAAGUUAGGAGUGAAAGCCCAGGGCUCAACCUUGGAAUUGCUCUUAAAACUGCAAGGCUAGAAUCUCGGAGAGGAUAGCGGAAUUUCCAGUGUAGCAGUGAAAUGCGUAGAUAUUGGAAGGAACACCAUUGGCGUAAGCGGCUAUCUGGACGAGUAUUGACGCUGAGGCACGAAAGCGUGGGGAUCAAACAGGAUUAGAAACCCCUGUAGUCC
This 425-nucleotide ribosomal RNA is filed under the name uncultured bacterium. Its description in RNAcentral is "partial 16S ribosomal RNA". It matches the Rfam family "Bacterial small subunit ribosomal RNA", at positions 354 to 796 of the family's 1533-position model. The record is from RNAcentral.